CAUCUUUGGAGCAUCAGAUGUAUUCCCUAAGGAGGAUGGGUCUCCGUGAUGGGGGUGGUAUAAUUAUGUUAAUGUCAUAUUUAUGGAGGGAUCAACCACUUCAGAAGAACCAGAAUCCACUUCUGUGGCCAGGACUGUUAUGUUAUGGCUGGUCCGAUUGUUAUACCCUGCGUUCUAUGCUACUAAACCGUGGAUCAUUCCUAAAGUACCAAUUCUGUUCUUGAACCACAAACAAGGCUAAAAGAUCGGAGGAAAUUCAGUGUAUAUACAGGAUUGGGAUUGUGUAUUUUCAAAAGUAUUGAGCUUUAUAAUGCAAUUAUUUGAGAAAUAGAAUCUUUUAUGUUUCUUCUCAUGUUGCCAGCAUUUUAAGUUACAUGUUUAUUAAGUGGCAUUGCUCAAAUAGCUACAGAGUAUGCAUGGAAAUAUUUGCUGUCUGAAUAGUUUGGAGAUUCAAAGAGAAAAAUCAAGCUUCGGAGGUGUCUGAUGAUUUCUGAGCACCAAGUGACUAUUCUGUGGAGUCAUCUUUCCUUGCCUUUGAACGAGCUUUCCCUAGGCCAUGAGUCAACCUCAAUCUUUUGUACAUCCAAAUUGAAUUCCUGAAAACGGAUGAUGUGCCAACCAUUGUUCAGGGACAGGAACACAGCAAUGAAUGAACAUAAAGGAAAUUUAACGUGGAUUUCUGCUCUCUGCAAUCAAAACAAACCUGAGUUAGACAUUAACACCAAAAGUUAUGUUGGAAAAAGAAGACCCUAAAAUGGAAAAUUGGCUGAGUUGAGGUGAACUAAAUUACAACGAUGAUUCCAUGAUCCCAGGAUGGAAAUUGGCAAGCUUUGUUCUGCCACAAGAAGCAGGUUAAAAAGUUACCUGUUAAAUCUUUAGACUUCAUGUGCUUACUGAGGUUGGAGCUAUAGGAGAUUUACUGGAAAAUGUCAGAACUCUGGGAAUAGGUUCAAAUCCUUUGCUUCAGUAGGGUCUUGAACAACCAACACAAGCUUUUCUAUAAACUGGCCCAGCCAAAAUUAGAAAGUGCAUAGCACACGUUUGUUGAGAGACCAUGUCAUCUCUUCUUUCUCUGUCCCUCCUCACUUAGCUUGGGACAAAAUAUGAGGCACUGUUCAUCUUUCAAGAAGCAUUAAUUUCAUCAUCCCCAGUGGUCUUGGAUUGUUGACCAGAGGAAGAAAAGACAGCGAUAGAAGAGCUGAAGACAUGGAAAGAACUAUUCCAUAGACCCGUCUGUAUCA
Long non-coding RNA from Zalophus californianus (California sea lion), 1241 nucleotides. RefSeq lists it as uncharacterized. The record is from RefSeq and is a predicted model, not a curated record. Lineage: Eukaryota; Metazoa; Chordata; Mammalia; Carnivora; Otariidae. The transcript is spliced from 5 exons.